UUUAAUAGAAGGAGCACAUAUGAACAAAGGGAUGGGCCACAAAUUCCUCAAGCAUAUAGAAAGAACUAAACAACUACUUUUUGUUGUUGAUGUUUCUGGAUUUCAGCUUUCUUCCCAAACUCAAUACAGAACUGCCUUUGAAACCAUACUACUGCUUUCAAAAGAAUUGGAGUUGUACAGAGAGGAACUUCAGACAAAACCUGCGCUCCUGGCAGUUAAUAAAAUGGACUUGCCAGAUGCCCAAGAUAAAUUCCAUGUACUGAUGAACCAACUCCAGAAUCCUAAAGUGAUGAUGCUUUCAUUUUUCUGAGUCUAGUAGAGGACCUUUUGCACAAAUGAGGAAAGUAGGGUGGAAGAUUUUUUGCAUUUAUUUGAAAAAAACAUGAUUCCAGAGAGGACCGUGGAGUUCCAACACAUCAUCCCCAUCUCUGCAGUUACUGGGGAAGGAAUUGAUGAACUAAAGGACUGUAUAAGGAAAUCUCUGGAUGAACACACCAACCAGGAAAAUGAUGCAUAUCAUAAGAAGCAGUUGCUUAAUUUACGUAUUUCUAAUACAAUAUCUUAUAGUGAGCUACCAUCAAAGAAUGCUGUUACUAGUGCCAGAAUAGAUAUAACUUAAAUCUGUUAAAAGUGAUAUUGAAAUUGCAUUCAUUUGGAAGCUUUUCCACAGACAUAUUUUUUAGAAGGUUAGUUGUUACUAACCUGGUGUAUAUGCCAUCAUUCAAGAACCAUACUUUUUAAAGAUGUUUUGUACUUAAGUCUAUCAACAGUAAAAAAAAGUAACUGAGGGUUAAAAAUGACAGUUUAUAAUUUUAUGGCCAAUUCACCUAUAAUAAAAAUCUUAUAGUAUUCCUGUACAUAUGUCUCUAGUGAGAUCAUUUUUUUAAUUAUAUAAAGGAUUCCUUAUGAGCAACUAGGUUUUGUUUGUUUGUCUUUAAGUCUGUCAUUACCUGGUUCUACUAAAUAUAUAAUAGUUCUCUUUUUUUGGAAAACCUCAAACCCUAAAUUUGAACAUAUUCAGUGAUAAUAAAGACCAUUGAUAAUCAGUAGAUAAAUCUUAGUGAUUUCAGCUUUUGGAAAUUUUUCUUAAGUAUAAGAGUAUUUUUUUCUUGCUUUGGACGCACUGAUGUAUGUCUCAUUUUAUUGUGUCCUAGUCUGUUUCACUGUCUACUUUCAUAUUUUAGUAAGGAGAGUUAAUAGGAAGUACAAUAUUAAACAGUAUUAUCCAUCAUCAGUAUAUUCUCAGGAGAUUAUAAUUUCUAAAUUUCUGCCUGACUUUCAAAAAUACCAUAUUAUACAUUUUCUCUUAAUGCAUCUUAUUAUAAAAUAUACAUGUUAACUGUAAAAUAAAAUAAAAUUUAAACAGUGCAAAAGCAUAUAGAGUUCCCAUCUUUCUGCAUCAGGCUCUCCAGUUCUCAGAGAAAACCACGUGUUCUUGCAGAAUUUUUUAAUGCAUAUAUCUUUCUGCCUAAAUGAGUUCAUCAUAUAAGACUUUCCAAGGUUUUUUGGCUUUUACAAAAUAGUAGCAAGUUAAUGAGCUUCUAAAAACUAUUCUUCAGUGCUACUUUUAAACUAUUAGGAAUUGUUUUGGAAUUUAAGGCUAAGUGAAGCCUUAACAUGUGGCUAUAAGUAUUAACUAAAAAUGGCACUAUCAUUCUACUUAAAUUUCUUCUGAUAUGACAAUGUGAGUGACUUCUUACAAGUGUUAUUUCACUUUUAUUUGUUCUGUUUUCUAUUCCCCACUCCCACCUCCCAUCCCAGUCCCCAGCACUGGCUUUUCUUGUGUUUCUUUUCAUUGCAUGGCUAUUUAUUGAGUGUCUCCCCUGUGCCAGGCACUGUGCGAGGCUCUGCAUGUACAGUGUUAAGGAGAAUAGACAGGACCUGCUGCCCUCAUGGAUCUCACGUUCAACAUCAGAAGCUGCAGAGGAUUAGAGCACUUUACAGCAAAGGAGUAGGAGUGAGGAAAGCGUUUGGAAUUUGAACAUCUUUACUGAUCAUAGUGACCAUGUUUCAUAUUGGGUAUGUUUUACAUUUAUAACUUGAGUGUCAUUUUUCUCUUUUUCACUUCUAUUAUUUCCUAAGUAUGAACAAGUAGCAGUGUGAUGACAGUUUGAUCAGGUGAAUUUCUGAACUUCUGACACCAUAAUCUUAUUUUUUGCUGUGGCAAAGGAUAGUAGAUGUGUGUUGAGGACUAAGACGAAUUGUAGCUUAUUUGUUGUGUCUGUAUUGCCCAGGUUACUACUCCACAACUAACUGAAACAUUUUAUGUAACUCACUAAAAUGUUCCAUUAUUUGUAUUUUCUUCUUACCAAAAGUGUACUCUAUGUACCUUUAUCUGAUGGUUGAUUUUUAUUGUAUAUGAAAGAAGAAAAUCUGAAUUCCUUUUUUAUUUUAUAAAAAGUAAAUUUUAAACACUUAAAGAUUUAUUUUGAAAUUAAUAUUUUAACUGCCAUUUAUUUUGUCCUUAAUA
Molecule: non-coding RNA, 2470 nt
Organism: Kogia breviceps (pygmy sperm whale)
Lineage: Eukaryota; Metazoa; Chordata; Mammalia; Artiodactyla; Physeteridae
Source: RefSeq, a predicted model, not a curated record